RNAcentral lists this ribosomal RNA (253 nucleotides) under uncultured bacterium. RNAcentral's name for it is "partial 16S ribosomal RNA". It matches the Rfam family "Bacterial small subunit ribosomal RNA", at positions 524 to 776 of the family's 1533-position model. The record is from RNAcentral.
UACGUAGGCAGCAAGCGUUGUUCGGAAUUACUGGGCGUAAAGAGUGUGUAGGCGGUGCUCCAAGUCUGGUGUGAAAUCUCCCGGCUUAACUGGGAGGGUGCAUUAGAAACUGGAAUGCUAGAGGAUGGGAGAGGUAAGCGGAAUUCCUGGUGUAGCGGUGAAAUGCGUAGAUAUCAGGAGGAACACCGGUGGUGUAAACGGCUUUCUGGACCAUAACUGACGCUGAGGCACGAAAGCGUGGGUAGCAAACAGG